This is a long non-coding RNA of Rosa chinensis, 998 nucleotides long. RefSeq lists it as uncharacterized. Lineage: Eukaryota; Viridiplantae; Streptophyta; Magnoliopsida; Rosales; Rosaceae. The transcript is spliced from 3 exons. The record is from RefSeq and is a predicted model, not a curated record.
UCCAGCUCCUCCACUAUUUGCGAUCUCCGAUCAACGUCAACCUCCAUAAAAACUGAGUUAGUAUCAUCAAUCAAUCACUUUCUUUAGGCUUUUUCUCUUUAAAUUAUGCAUUUGAUAAACUGUGGGUCUCUUAUUUCAAUUGAAUUUAAGCUUGAAUAGGAUAUGUAAACCCAGAAACACAUAUUUUCAAUUAGAAAGAAAAAUUCGAAUCUGGUUUACAAAUUGAAAUUUGGGAUGUUAGUAGUCAACUUCUUACUCAAAUAGAUCAAUGUCUUUUAGAUUACUGUAUACAAGUGUAUAAGUUGAUUGAUAAAUCAUUGUCUUUUAGUAAUUCCACAGUUGUUAAGAAUCUGUAACGUUUGUUCUCCGAAUUUGAUUGCGGUUAUUAAGUUGGUUUACAACAACAGCAGUUGCGCUUGAAUCUUUCUUUUGUUUUUCUGAAAUACACUAAAACUACAGAUAUUUAGCUAUUGUGGAUUUGUAGUUUGACUGAUAAAUUCUUUUCAGGUGUUCAGAAAUGUCAUGCAUCAAUUCAUCAACCACAGUUUGAAAUUGGAUUAAGGCUUGCAGAACCUUACACUUUCAUCAAUUAUUGUUGAGCUUCAACCAGGAACUAUGGCUGGUUGCUUCUUAUGAAUUAGCAAGCCUAAAGCGUUUUUAGUGGAGAAAUAAGUGAAUGGUGCGCUUCAACAAAUAAGCUUGGACAUCUAUCGAUAGCUUCUACAAUGACUAUAAAAUGAUGCACCUACAAGAUCUACAGAGAUUGGAAGGAGUUCUAUAUGUUUCAAGAGUACAUCAACACCAUUAAUGAUCUGUAAUAGUUCUGUAUCAAUGUUCACGCCUUAGGAGAUUAUAGUUACAGUUGCCACUGAUUUUGGAGUGAAACCUACUCUUGCUCUUUGGGUUCAUAGAAUCCAGAAAGAGAGUGUGGGCUAUGUAGCCUCAUUUAGCGUUUAACUACCAAAAGAUAAUAAUUGUUUAUAUACUCUAAUCGACUG